AGCGAACGCUGGCGGCAGGCUUAACACAUGCAAGUCGAGCGGGCAUCUUCGGAUGACAGCGGCAGACGGGUGAGUAACACGUGGGAACGUACCCUUCGGUUCGGAACAACUCUGGGAAACUGGAGCUAAUACCGGAUACGCCCUUAUGGGGAAAGGUUUACUGCCGAAGGAUCGGCCCGCGUCUGAUUAGCUAGUUGGUGGGGUAACGGCCUACCAAGGCGACGAUCAGUAGCUGGUCUGAGAGGAUGAUCAGCCACACUGGGACUGAGACACGGCCCAGACUCCUACGGGAGGCAGCAGUGGGGAAUAUUGGACAAUGGGCGCAAGCCUGAUCCAGCCAUGCCGCGUGAGUGAUGAAGGCCUUAGGGUUGUAAAGCUCUUUUGUCCGGGACGAUAAUGACGGUACCGGAAGAAUAAGCCCCGGCUAACUUCGUG
This 435-nucleotide ribosomal RNA is filed under the name uncultured bacterium. RNAcentral's name for it is "partial 16S ribosomal RNA". It matches the Rfam family "Bacterial small subunit ribosomal RNA", at positions 29 to 507 of the family's 1533-position model. The record is from RNAcentral.